UGCGAGAAAGGUUCCUUCGGGGACUGAGUAGAGCGGCGCACGGGUGAGUAACGCGUGGGUGACCUACCCAGGAGACCGGGAUAACAGUGGGAAACUGCUGCUAAUACCGGGUACGCUUCAUAUUUCACGUAUGGGGGAAAGGCGGCCUCUGCUUGCAAGCUGCCACUCUUGGAUGGGCCCGCGUCUCAUUAGCUUGUUGGUAGGGUAACGGCCUACCAAGGCAACGAUGAGUAGCUGGUCUGAGAGGAUGAUCAGCCACACUGGGACUGGAACACGGCCCAGACUCCUACGGGAGGCAGCAGUGGGGAAUAUUGCGCAAUGGGCGAAAGCCUGACGCAGCGACGCCGCGUGAGGGAAGAAGGCCUUCGGGUCGUAAACCUCUGUCAGGAGGGAAGAAACCAUGGGAGUCGAAUAGGCUCUCGUGCUGACGGUACCUCCGGAGGAAGCACCGGCUAACUCCGUGCCAGCAGCCGCGGUAAUACGGAGGGUGCAAGCGUUAAUCGGAAUCACUGGGCGUAAAGCGCACGUAGGCGG
RNAcentral lists this ribosomal RNA (534 nucleotides) under uncultured anaerobic bacterium. Its description in RNAcentral is "bacterial SSU rRNA". It matches the Rfam family "Bacterial small subunit ribosomal RNA", at positions 65 to 578 of the family's 1533-position model. The record is from RNAcentral.